CUAGAAGCAUUCUCUGUUAUCAAGGAAGAUCUGCUCUCAUGUGACACAGAUGAGCCCCCCUCUGCAAUACUUUCAUCUUGUCAAAACCAUUUGGUUGAGUACGUGGCCAUGGUGUCAGCACAAUGCUUACAACAUGGCAUUUUGCAGAACCUUUUGUGGCUGUUGGUUGAGGACCUGAGAUUCUUGGUAACUGGGAACGAAAAUGAGAAAAAAAUACCCCUGUUCGCUGAAUCUGCUCCCCAACUGCACAAACAUGGGAAGAAAAAUAAG
Molecule: long non-coding RNA, 270 nt
Organism: Bombina bombina (fire-bellied toad)
Lineage: Eukaryota; Metazoa; Chordata; Amphibia; Anura; Bombinatoridae
Exons: 3
Source: RefSeq, a predicted model, not a curated record